Molecule: transfer RNA, 76 nt
Filed under: Vibrio cholerae
Lineage: Bacteria; Pseudomonadati; Pseudomonadota; Gammaproteobacteria; Vibrionales; Vibrionaceae
Also listed under: 1 other name
Description: tRNA-Val
Rfam family: tRNA
About the family: Transfer RNA (tRNA) molecules are approximately 80 nucleotides in length. Their secondary structure includes four short double-helical elements and three loops (D, anti-codon, and T loops).
Source: RNAcentral
GGGCGAUUAGCUCAGUUGGGAGAGCACCUGCCUUACAAGCAGGGGGGCACUGGUUCGAACCCGGUAUCGCCCACCA